GGGGCUGCCUGGUAUUGACGGGAAAGUGUAGUCGCUUCGUAAGCAUGCCGGGGCAUGGUUGGUUACCCCGUAAAACAUAACGACCAAACAACAAUUGGCAACACACAGUUCGCCAUGGCUGCCUAAUUCUAGAGAAUUAGAAAGCCUUUGUGCCGCGUGAGGGCUGCGCUCAGCGCCCCCCUCUUUGCCUUGAUGCCUGCUACACAGGCCGCCGCGCAUCAUCAAAAAAGCAGGAUUGCCCGACGGGAUGUCUCGACCGAAGGGUGAAAUUUAGAGGAUAAGGUGCGGAUCGGCCGGUCACGGAGCCAAUCCCGCACUCGAAAACCUAAUCCGUGAAUAAGCAUGUAGAAAGCGUUGUGACGCUUUGUCCGGACGCGAGUUCGACUCUCGCCAGCUCCACAA
Molecule: transfer-messenger RNA, 402 nt
Filed under: Saprospiraceae
Lineage: Bacteria; Pseudomonadati; Bacteroidota; Saprospiria; Saprospirales
Also listed under: 1 other name
Description: M3007 sp016787465 Standard tmRNA
Rfam family: transfer-messenger RNA
About the family: Bacterial tmRNA, also known as 10Sa RNA or SsrA, is named for its dual tRNA and mRNA-like properties. Its role is to liberate the mRNA from a stalled ribosome.
Source: RNAcentral